GACGAACGCUGGCGGCGUGCUUAACACAUGCAAGUCGAACGGAAAGGCCCUGCUUUUGUGGCGUGCUCGAUUGGCGAACGGGUGAGUAACACGUGUGUAACCUGCCCUUGACUUUGGGGUAACUUCAGGAAACUGGGGCUAAUACCGGAUAGGAGCUCCUGCUGCAUAGUGGGGGUUGGAAAGUUUCGGCGGUUGGGGAUGGUCUCGCGGCUUAUCAGCUUGUUGGUGGGGUAGUGGCUUACCAAGGGUUUGACGGGUAGGCGGCCUGAGAGGGUGAACAGCCACAAUGGGACUGCGAGACGGCGCAGACUCCUACGGGAGGCAGCAGUGGGGAAUAUUGCACAAUGGGCGGAAGCCUGAUGCAGCAACGCCGCGUGCGGGAUGACGGCCUUCGGGUUGUAAACCGCUUUCGCAUGUGACGAAGCGGGAGUGACGGUAAUGGGUAAAGAAGCAACGGCUAACUACGUG
RNAcentral lists this ribosomal RNA (468 nucleotides) under uncultured bacterium. RNAcentral's name for it is "partial 16S ribosomal RNA". It matches the Rfam family "Bacterial small subunit ribosomal RNA", at positions 28 to 507 of the family's 1533-position model. The record is from RNAcentral.